RNAcentral lists this ribosomal RNA (397 nucleotides) under uncultured Methanosaeta sp. Its description in RNAcentral is "bacterial SSU rRNA". It matches the Rfam family "Archaeal small subunit ribosomal RNA", at positions 943 to 1338 of the family's 1478-position model. Lineage: Archaea; Methanobacteriati; Methanobacteriota; Methanomicrobia; Methanotrichales; Methanotrichaceae. The record is from RNAcentral.
CAAUAUGAAGGUCAGGCUGAAGACCUUACCCGAUUAGCUGAGAGGUGGUGCAUGGCCGUCGUCAGUUCGUACUGUGAAGCAUCCUGUUAAGUCAGGGCAACGAGCGAGACCCACGUCCACAGUUGCCAGCAUACCCUCCGGGGUGAUGGGUACACUGUGGAGACCGCCGCUGCUAAGGCGGAGGAAGGAGUGGGCAACGGUAGGUCAGUAUGCCCCGAAUCUCCCGGGCUACACGCGGGCUACAAUGGUUGGUACAAUGAGCAUCUACCCCGAAAGGGGAAGGAAAUCUCUUAAAGCCAAUCGUAGUUCGGAUUGAGGGCUGCAACUCGCCCUCAUGAAGCUGGAAUCCGUAGUAAUCGCGUUUCAACAGAACGCGGUGAAUACGUCCCUGCUCCUU